GACGAACGCUGGCGGCGUGCUUAACACAUGCAAGUCGAACGGAAAGGCCCUGCUUUUGUGGGGUGCUCGAGUGGCGAACGGGUGAGUAACACGUGAGUAACCUGCCCUUGACUUUGGGAUAACUUCAGGAAACUGGGGCUAAUACCGGAUAGGAGCUCCUGCUGCAUGGUGGGGGUUGGAAAGUUUCGGCGGUUCGGGAUGGACGCGCGGGUUAGCCGCUUGUUUGUGGGGUAGUGGUUUACCAAGGCUUUGACGGGUAGCCGGCCUGAGAGGGUGAACGGCGACAUUGGGACUGAGGGACGGACCAGACUCGUACGGGAGGCAGCAGUGGGGAAUAUUGCACAGUGGGGGGACGCCUGAUGCAGCAACGCCGCGUGCGGGAUGACGGCUUUCGGGUGAUAAACCGCUUUCGCCUGUGACGAAGCGUGAGUGACGGUAAUGGGUAAAGAAGCACCGGCUAACUACGUG
RNAcentral lists this ribosomal RNA (468 nucleotides) under uncultured bacterium. RNAcentral describes it as "partial 16S ribosomal RNA". It matches the Rfam family "Bacterial small subunit ribosomal RNA", at positions 28 to 507 of the family's 1533-position model. The record is from RNAcentral.